UUUAUCGGAGAGUUUGAUCCUGGCUCAGGACGAACGCUGGCGGCGUGCCUAAUACAUGCAAGUCGAGCGGACAGAUGGGAGCUUGCUCCCUGAUGUUAGCGGCGGACGGGUGAGUAACACGUGGGUAACCUGCCUGUAAGACUGGGAUAACUCCGGGAAACCGGGGCUAAUACCGGAUGGUUGUUUGAACCGCAUGGUUCAAACAUAAAAGGUG
RNAcentral lists this ribosomal RNA (214 nucleotides) under Bacillus subtilis subsp. subtilis. RNAcentral describes it as "partial 16S ribosomal RNA". It matches the Rfam family "Bacterial small subunit ribosomal RNA", at positions 1 to 210 of the family's 1533-position model. RNAcentral also lists the same sequence under 1 other name. The record is from RNAcentral. Lineage: Bacteria; Bacillati; Bacillota; Bacilli; Caryophanales; Bacillaceae.